UGGGGAAUAUUGCGCAAUGGGCGAAAGCCUGACGCAGCGACGCCGCGUGGGGGAUGACGGCCUUCGGGUUGUAAACCUCUUUCAGCAGGGACGAAGCGCAAGUGACGGUACCUGCAGAAGAAGCACCGGCCAACUACGUGCCAGCAGCCGCGGUAAUACGUAGGGUGCAAGCGUUGUCCGGAAUUAUUGGGCGUAAAGAGCUCGUAGGCGGUUUGUUGCGUCGGCUGUGAAAUCCCGAGGCUCAACCUCGGGUCUGCAGUCGAUACGAGCAAACUAGAGUGUUGCAGGGGAGACUGGAAUUCCUGGUGUAGCGGUGAAAUGCGCAGAUAUCAGGAGGAACACCGGUGGCGGAAGGCGGGUCUCUGGGCAACAACUGACGCUGAGGAGCGAAAGCGUGGGGAGCGAACAGGAUUAGAUACCCUGGUAGUCCACGCCGUAAACGUUGGGCGCUAGGUGUGGGGCUCAUUCCACGAGUUCCGUGCCGCAGCUAACG
RNAcentral lists this ribosomal RNA (493 nucleotides) under uncultured Actinomycetes bacterium. Its description in RNAcentral is "bacterial SSU rRNA". It matches the Rfam family "Bacterial small subunit ribosomal RNA", at positions 355 to 857 of the family's 1533-position model. The record is from RNAcentral. Lineage: Bacteria; Bacillati; Actinomycetota; Actinomycetes.